UGAAUAAUGUACUGCUCAUUGGAAUGACCAAUCGGAAGGAUUUGCUUGAUGAAGCCUUAUUGAGACCUGGACGCUUGGAGGUUCAUGUUGAGAUAAAUCUCCCUGACGAAUCUGGACGUCUGCAAAUCCUUCAAAUUCAUACAAAUAAAAUGAAGGAAAAUUCUUUUCUUGAUAAAAGUGUGGAUCUUAAAAAGCUUGCCG
Molecule: unclassified non-coding RNA, 201 nt
Filed under: Hevea brasiliensis (rubber tree)
Lineage: Eukaryota; Viridiplantae; Streptophyta; Magnoliopsida; Malpighiales; Euphorbiaceae
Source: RNAcentral